AGUGAACGCUGGCGGUAUGCCUAACACAUGCAAGUCGAACGGCAGCACAGUAAGAGCUUGCUCUUACGGGUGGCGAGUGGCGGACGGGUGAGGAAUACAUCGGAAUCUACUUUUUCGUGGGGGAUAACGUAGGGAAACUUACGCUAAUACCGCAUACGACCUACGGGUGAAAGCAGGGGAUCUUCGGACCUUGCGCGAUUCAAUUAGCCGAUGUCGGAUUAGCUAGUUGGCGGGGUAAAGGCCCACCAAGGCGACGAUCCGUAGCUGGUCUGAGAGGAUGAUCAGCCACACUGGAACUGAGACACGGUCCAGACUCCUACGGGAGGCAGCAGUGGGGAAUAUUGGACAAAGGGCGCAAGCCUGAUCCAGCCAUACCGCGUGGGUGAAGAAGGCCUUCGGGUUGUAAAGCCCUUUUGUUGGGAAAGAAAAGCAGCAGGUUAAUACCCCGCUGUUCUGACGGUACCCAAAGAAUAGGCACCGGCUAACUUCGUG
RNAcentral lists this ribosomal RNA (492 nucleotides) under uncultured bacterium. RNAcentral's name for it is "partial 16S ribosomal RNA". It matches the Rfam family "Bacterial small subunit ribosomal RNA", at positions 29 to 507 of the family's 1533-position model. The record is from RNAcentral.